Small nucleolar RNA from Alosa sapidissima (American shad), 117 nucleotides. RefSeq annotates it as small nucleolar RNA SNORA26. The record is from RefSeq and is a predicted model, not a curated record. The transcript has a single exon. Lineage: Eukaryota; Metazoa; Chordata; Actinopteri; Clupeiformes; Clupeidae.
CUGCCCACUGGAUGCUGUCUGUGUGUCUAGUGGCCAUUAUUGAGGGGUAGAGGGACUUGCUAAAACCCAGGUCAGAUGUCAAUCCACUGAGCUUGGAUCCUGUCGUAAGAAACAUGU